UUUUCUAAUAUUUUGGAAGCAGACCCCAAAAACUCUAGAAGCCUAGGUGCUCCUCUACCCAUUCAUAGUCUACAAGCACAGACUCCAAUAUAAGACACUUCACCUCAAAUCCACAUUCCUAAAGCCUUCAUAGUCUACAAGCACAGACUCCAAUAUAAGACACUUCACCUCAAAUCCACAUUCCUAAAGCCUUCAUAGUCUACAAGCACAGACUCCAAUACAAGACACUUCAACUCAAAUCCACACUCCUAAAGCCUUCAUAGUCUACAAGCACAGACUCCAAUAUAAGACACUUCACCUCAAAUCCACAUUCCUAAAGCCUUCAUAGUCUACAAGCACAGACUCCAAUAUAAGACACUUCACCUCAAAUCCACACUCCUAAAGCCUUGAGCAGAGCCUAAUCCUGUCAGUUUCUUGCUGUGUCAAGCUUAAGUACAGAGCGAAUUGUAGUCUCAUUUUGCAGAUACUUUUACACUCAACUGACAAAUGUUUAUGCUUCACGCACAACACACACACACACACACGCACGCACACACACAAUCAAUUAUUCCCCUUUGUAUCAUCCUUUUCCUCUCUGCUGCCCUCUCUCCAUCUCAAAUGCUCUUCAAGUGCAUAUUGCUUGCGUCUCCUUUGUCACCCCCCCCCCCCCCCCUCUCUCUCUCUCUCUCUCUCUCUCUCUCUCACGCUCACUUUCGCAUUCUUUCACUCUCCUCUCCCUGCUCUCCCGUAUGUGCUCCCCCUCCAUCUUUUCUCUCUCUUCAUUCCCUUUUCACUUUGUUUAAUUUUUGCCUCUCACACUUUUUCUCAUCAAAAGUGUUGUUGUUUUUCGUAUUUUCCCUGUAUGCCAACAGUAUUCUAUCAAUCAUACACUACCCAAUGUAUAGCAUAUAACAAAAUAUCCCAAACAAGCUAUGGUUUGCAAGUUCAUGUGAUUUUAUUAUCAGCAUUAUUACCAAGACUAUUAGUUAUUCCCCUUAUACCAUGCUUACAUUGUCUUGUUGGUGGUACUUUUCUUUAGGAAAAAAAAGCAAAACAGAGAGAACAUUUUUAAUUUGAAGCUUAUGAUGAAAAGAUGUAUUAUUGUGCUAGAUUUUAAGGUUGGUGUACAGUUAGCCCUCAAUAUAUUUGAAAGAUGUAUAAUGAAUAAAAACAUGGAAGAAACAGAAA
This is a long non-coding RNA of Strongylocentrotus purpuratus (purple sea urchin), 1167 nucleotides long. RefSeq lists it as uncharacterized. NCBI's taxonomy places the organism in Eukaryota, Metazoa, Echinodermata, Echinoidea, Camarodonta, Strongylocentrotidae. The record is from RefSeq and is a predicted model, not a curated record. The transcript has 2 exons.